AAAAUGUGAAUCUAGUUACUUACGUUCCACUCUGCACUGCAGGCAUUGGCCACGUCCUUCAAACCACCUGGAAAUUUCACACCUAAGGCUUCAUGUUUCUUCUUGUAAUCGAGCAUGAAGAAGCUAAAGGCAUUUCGGGUUUGCUUUUUCUGUGGCAUUUUAUACCGUAAAUUUUUCUGUCUGUAUGAUCACAAAGUUAACUUCGCGUAGUUUGCUUAUUUUUCAAAUUCUCAUCAGUUUUUGUCAUUUGAAAAAGAUAGAAUUCUACAAUAAAGUCUUAUACUAUUUUAACAAAUCUGCAGCUUUUGAUCCGCACCAAAUUACGCCGGGAGCGUUGGUGUGCGAAAGUUUAAGUUUGAAAAUGCACAACGUAAGACCGCCAAAUAUCACACGUAUAUUCACCAUCAGUCUUGCAUUUACCCCAGAAAAAUACACGAGAAAAAAAUGCAAAGAAAUUAAUUCGUUUGAUACUUUGGAACUACGGUAGUUUU
RNAcentral lists this unclassified non-coding RNA (491 nucleotides) under Athalia rosae (coleseed sawfly). RNAcentral's name for it is "misc RNA ENSAEAG00005012633.1". The record is from RNAcentral. Lineage: Eukaryota; Metazoa; Arthropoda; Insecta; Hymenoptera; Athaliidae.